RNAcentral lists this transfer RNA (57 nucleotides) under Caldisalinibacter kiritimatiensis. It matches the Rfam family "tRNA", at positions 16 to 71 of the family's 71-position model. From Rfam's summary of the family: Transfer RNA (tRNA) molecules are approximately 80 nucleotides in length. Their secondary structure includes four short double-helical elements and three loops (D, anti-codon, and T loops). The record is from Rfam by way of RNAcentral. Lineage: Bacteria; Bacillati; Bacillota; Tissierellia; Tissierellales; Thermohalobacteraceae.
UGGUAGAGCACCUGACUUUUAAUCAGGGUGUCCGGCGUUCGAGUCGCCGAUGGGUCA